GGACCCGCACAAGUAGUGGAGCAUGUGGUUUAAUUCGAAGAUACGCGCAGAACCUUACCAACACUUGACAUGUUCGUCGCGACUUUAAGAGAUUAAAGUUUUCGGUUCGGCCGGACGAAACACAGGUGCUGCAUGGCUGUCGUCAGCUCGUGUCGUGAGAUGUUGGGUUAAGUCCCGCAACGAGCGCAACCCUCACUUUUAGUUGCCAGCGAGUAAUGUCGGGAACUCUAGCAAGACUGCCAGUGAUAAGCUGGAGGAAGGUGGGGAUGACGUCAAGUCCUCAUGGCCCUUACGUGUUGGGCUACACACGUGCUACAAUGGUAUCUACAACAGGAAGCAAAACUGCGAAGUUAAGCAAAUCCUUAAAAGAUACCUCAGUUCGGAUUGCACUCUGCAACUCGAGUGCAUGAAGCUGGAAUU
Molecule: ribosomal RNA, 420 nt
Filed under: uncultured bacterium
Lineage: Bacteria
Description: bacterial SSU rRNA
Rfam family: Bacterial small subunit ribosomal RNA
Source: RNAcentral